AUUCUCCUUUUCACUUGAUACAGAUGUUUCUUCUGACAGAAGCUUAAACAAUGAACGAAGCAAACUAAAGAUACUGCAGAGAACUUCAUCAGGGAAAUGCAUUUUGAAUUCCUUCAUUACAAUGAGUUUAUGCAUGAAGUCCAGUCUCUGCCCCAGUGUAUAACAAUAGCACUCCAUGCUGAAGAUCACCACAAUCCAGUGUUCAAUUCAGAGGCAAUGUCAAAAUGAGUAACAAUCGAAGAGAAGCCAGCCUGGAAUGAUUUAAAGAGCCGGCUUUAUAAGAGAAUGAGUCAGGCUCUUGCUGCCGGACCACCAGAAUCAGGAUUCUAUCUCCUGGAGCAUGAGGGACUAUGUAAACGUAUGUAUAUGGAGAUACACUUGAGGGGCUAUUUUUGGUACCACCUUAAACUGAACUACUCUGAGAUGGCUUCCCAGUGCGCUGACUUGGAUCCUUGCAGUGCUGCCCUGAUGCUGUUUCUGUUGAACCCACGCAAGAGCUGGUCAUGUGGAGAGGGGAACAGCUGGGAAAAAAGAAAACAAGAGGCAUGAGCAGAGAAGUUAGCACUG
Molecule: long non-coding RNA, 567 nt
Organism: Pogoniulus pusillus (Red-fronted tinkerbird)
Lineage: Eukaryota; Metazoa; Chordata; Aves; Piciformes; Lybiidae
Exons: 4
Source: RefSeq, a predicted model, not a curated record